Molecule: ribosomal RNA, 1345 nt
Filed under: metagenome
Description: bacterial LSU rRNA
Rfam family: Bacterial large subunit ribosomal RNA
Source: RNAcentral
CAAAGUGACUGAACGAGGUUCCAGGAAAAGCCACUAAGCUUCAGCUAUACACGACCGUACCGCAAACCGACACUGGUGCGCGAGAUGAGUAUUCUAAGGCGCUUGAGAGAACUCAGGAGAAGGAACUCGGCAAAUUGACACCGUAACUUCGGAAGAAGGUGUGCCCUAUUAGUGUGAAGUGAACAACGGAGCAUGAAUGGGUUGCAAAAAAUCGGUGGCUGCGACUGUUUAUUAAAAACACAGCACUCUGCAAACACGAAAGUGGACGUAUAGGGUGUGACGCCUGCCCGGUGCUGGAAGAUUAAAUGAUGGGGUGCAAGCUCUUGAUUGAAGUCCCAGUAAACGGCGGCCGUAACUAUAACGGUCCUAAGGUAGCGAAAUUCCUUGUCGGGUAAGUUCCGACCUGCACGAAUGGCGUAACGAUGGCCACACUGUCUCCUCCUGAGACUCAGCGAAGUUGAAAUGUUUGUGAUGAUGCAAUCUCCCCGCGGAAAGACGGAAAGACCCCAUGAACCUUUACUGUAGCUUUGUAUUGGACUUUGAACAGAUCUGUGUAGGAUAGGUGGGAGGCUUUGAAGCAGGGUCGCUAGAUCUUGUGGAGCCAACGUUGAAAUACCACCCUGGUGUGUUUGAGGUUCUAACCUAGGUCCAUUAUCUGGAUCGGGGACAGUGCAUGGUAGGCAGUUUGACUGGGGCGGUCUCCUCCCAAAGCGUAACGGAGGAGUUCGAAGGUACGCUAGUUACGGUCGGACAUCGUGACGAUAGUGCAAUGGCAUAAGCGUGCUUAACUGCGAGACUGACAAGUCGAGCAGAUGCGAAAGCAGGACAUAGUGAUCCGGUGGUUCUGUAUGGAAGGGCCAUCGCUCAACGGAUAAAAGGUACUCUGGGGAUAACAGGCUGAUACCGCCCAAGAGUUCAUAUCGACGGCGGUGUUUGGCACCUCGAUGUCGGCUCAUCUCAUCCUGGGGCUGUAGCCGGUCCCAAGGGUAUGGCUGUUCGCCAUUUAAAGAGGUACGUGAGCUGGGUUUAAAACGUCGUGAGACAGUUUGGUCCCUAUCUUCCGUGGGCGCUGCAGAUUUGAGGAAGCCUGCUCCUAGUACGAGAGGACCGGAGUGGACACACCUCUGGUGUAUCGGUUGUCACGCCAGUGGCAUUGCCGAGUAGCUAAGUGUGGAAGUGAUAACCGCUGAAAGCAUCUAAGCGGGAAACUCGUUUCAAGAUGAGAUCUGCCGGGGCCUUGAGCCCCCUGAAGAGUCGUUCAAGACCAGGACGUUGAUAGGUCAGGUGUGGAAGCGCAGUAAUGCGUUAAGCUAACUGAUACUAAUUGCUCGUGCGGCUUGACCCU